UACCUUGACAGACUGUCAACAGC
RNAcentral lists this unclassified non-coding RNA (23 nucleotides) under Mus musculus (house mouse). RNAcentral's name for it is "oocyte_clustered_small_RNA6366". Lineage: Eukaryota; Metazoa; Chordata; Mammalia; Rodentia; Muridae. The record is from RNAcentral.